UUACUAGUCUGCAGGCCGCAUGUUUUCUUUCCCUCUCCCUUUGCCAGGUACACAGACUGCAGUCAAUUUGGGAUCAAUUAGAGAAAGGAGGCUUUGAUUGGACAAACCAGGAGUGCACGCCCCGAUAAGGAAACUCACCUGUGGCUGGGUGUAUCUCUCUCUACCUUGGAAUUGUUUGGCACACAUGUAGAGCUCCACUGGUGCAUUUUGUUUGUUUGAAGGUUGUGGUAGGAGGACUAGGUGAGUCUGGGGACCUCAUACACUUACUCACGUAGAAUCUAUUCUGUUAGAAACAUUAGGUAAGUGGGUUGGUGCCACCCAUUGUAAUUUUUGAGCUUGUUUUGAGUUAAGGAUUAGGGCUUUUUUUCCCUUCUUGUUUUUCUAGGGUAAGAGCUCAGCUAAGUUUUGGUUUGGUCUUUUUUUUGUGUUUUGUUGGGAUUUUUUUUGGAACAACCUAACUGUCCCUUUCUCGCCCACAUUUUUUUGUAUGAAUUUGUGUAAUUGUUUUUGUGAGAAAGCUGCUAUUAAACUUGUCUCAGCAUAUAACACUUGUACUGAGUUUCUGGAGUUGUUGUAACCCAUAUUGAAGUAUAGCUUGGAUAAUAUGUACCAAAACAUUAAAAAUAUAUAUAUUAAUCUUAGCAUUUAUACUAAGUUUAUAGUGAAUAAGCCAUAGGUUCAGCAGUGAAAGAGUUAACUGUUCUGAAGUAAACGUGGGUUGCUCUUAGCCAAUGAGCUGCUGCAAUGUGGUGCAGUGCCCCGCCUUUCAUCUCCAUCUGAGAGAGCACAGGCUUUUCCUCCUCUCUCGUGAAUCCCCCAUGAGCACGCUAGCGAGGAAAAGGAGAUGGAGAUUCACUGAAACGAGGUCAGGAAUUGGAGACGGCGCCAUUUCAUUGUUCCUGCGCCAUCUCGCGCUCCUGCGCUAUUCUUUUUUUGAGGUCAGGUUUUUUUCCUUAAUGUUCUUCCUUUCAAUGCAUUGCAACGGAUCCUGUAAUCGAUGGCGAGCCAAUCCUGUUGACCAAUUGACUUUUUCCUGUGCUGCAUGGCAGAGUGUGGUAGGCCAGCUGCAACAAAAAAAAAACCACCACUUUGAACCUACUAUUCCCCUUCUUCACACACAUCCCCCUGGAC
This is a long non-coding RNA of Astatotilapia calliptera (eastern happy), 1131 nucleotides long. The record is from Ensembl. Lineage: Eukaryota; Metazoa; Chordata; Actinopteri; Cichliformes; Cichlidae.